AGCAGCCGCGGUAAUUCCAGCUCCAAUAGCGUAUAUUAAAGUUGUUGCAGUUAAAAAGCUCGUAGUUGAAUUUCGGGGUCAGUAGGUUGGUCAUGCCACUGGUAUGUACUGGUCUCACUGAUUCCUCCUUCCUGAUGAGCCGUAAUGCCAUUAAUUUGGUGUUGCGAGGAAUCUGGACUGUUACUUUGAAAAAAUUAGAGUGUUUAAAGCAGGCUAACGCUUGAAUACAUUAGCAUGGAAUAAUGAAACAGGACGUUCGAUCUUAUUUUGUUGGUUUCUAGGAUUGACGUAAUGAUUAAUAGGGAUAGUUGGGGGCAUUAGUAUUCAAUUGUCAGAGGUGAAAUUCUUGGAUUUAUUGAAGACUAACUACUGCGAAAGCAUUUGCCAAGGAUAUUUUCAUUAAUCAAGAACGAAAGUUAGGGGAUCGAAGACGAUCAGAUACCGUCGUAGUCUUAACCAUAAACUAUGCCGACUAGGGAUCGGAUGAUGUUAAUUUUUAAUGA
RNAcentral lists this ribosomal RNA (503 nucleotides) under uncultured Glomus. RNAcentral describes it as "SSU rRNA". It matches the Rfam family "Eukaryotic small subunit ribosomal RNA", at positions 569 to 1074 of the family's 1831-position model. Lineage: Eukaryota; Fungi; Glomeromycota; Glomeromycetes; Glomerales; Glomeraceae. The record is from RNAcentral.